CCUACGGGAGGCAGCAGUGAGGAAUAUUGGUCAAUGGCGGUAACUCUGAACCAGCCAAGUAGCGUGCAGGAUGACUGCCCUAUGGGUUGUAAACCUCUUUUAUGCGGGGAUAAACUUGUCCACGUGUGGCUUUUUGCAGGUACCGCAUGAAUAAGGACCGGCUAAUUCCGUGCCAGCAGCCGCGGUAAUACGGCAGGUCCGGGCGUUAUCCGGAUUUAUUGGGUUUAAAGGGAGCGAAGGCCGCUCCUUAAGCGUGUCGUGAAAUGCUGGGGCUCAACCGUGGGAGUGCGGCGCGAACUGGGGGCCUUGAGUGCGCGGAAGGCAGGCGGAAUUCGUGGUGUAGCGGUGAAAUGCUUAGAUAUCACGAAGAACCCCGAUUGCGAAGGCAGCCUGCCGUAGCGUUACUGACGCUGAGGCUCGAAGGUGCGGGUAUCGAACAGGAUUAGAUACCCCUGUAGUC
Molecule: ribosomal RNA, 460 nt
Filed under: uncultured bacterium
Lineage: Bacteria
Description: partial 16S ribosomal RNA
Rfam family: Bacterial small subunit ribosomal RNA
Source: RNAcentral